GACGAACGCUGGCGGCGUGCCUAAUACAUGCAAGUAGAACGCUGAAGGAGGGGCUUGCUUCUCUGGAUGAGUUGCGAACGGGUGAGUAACGCGUAGGUAACCUGCCUGGUAGUGGGGGAUAACUAUUGGAAACGAUAGCUAAUACCGCAUAAUAGCAGUUGUUGCAUGAUAACUGUUUGAAAGGUGCAAUUGCACCGCUACCAGAUGGACCUGCGUUGUAUUAGCUAGUUGGUGGGGUAACGGCUCACCAAGGCGACGAUACAUAGCCGACCUGAGAGGGUGAUCGGCCACACUGGGACUGAGACACGGCCCAGACUCCUACGGGAGGCAGCAGUAGGGAAUCUUCGGCAAUGGACGGAAGUCUGACCGAGCAACGCCGCGUGAGUGAAGAAGGUUUUCGGAUCGUAAAGCUCUGUUGUAAGAGAAGAACGAGUGUGAGAGUGGAAAGUUCACACUGUGACGGUAUCUUACCAGAAAGGGACGGCUAACUACGUG
This 495-nucleotide ribosomal RNA is filed under the name uncultured bacterium. RNAcentral describes it as "partial 16S ribosomal RNA". It matches the Rfam family "Bacterial small subunit ribosomal RNA", at positions 28 to 507 of the family's 1533-position model. The record is from RNAcentral.